GACGAACGCUGGCGGCGUGCUUAACACAUGCAAGUCGAACGGAAAGGCCCUGCUUUUGUGGGGAGCUCGAGUGGCGAACGGGUGAGUAACACGUGAGUAACCUGCCCUUGACUUUGGGAUAACUUCAGGAAACUGGGGCUAAUACCGGAUAGGAGCUCCUGCUGCAUGGUGGGGGUUGGAAAGUUUCGGCGGUUGGGGAUGGACUCGCGGCUUAUCAGCUUGUUGGUGGGGUAGUGGCUUACCAAGGCUUUGACGGGUAGCCGGCCUGAGAGGGUGACCGGCCACAUUGGGACUGAGAUACGGCCCAGACUCCUACGGGAGGCAGCAGUGGGGAAUACUGCACAAUGGGCGGAAGCCUGAUGCAGCAACGCCGCGUGCGGGAUGACGGCCUUCGGGUUGUAAACCGCUUUCGCCUGUGACGAAGCGUGAGUGACGGUAAUGGGUAAAGAAGCACCGGCUAACUACGUG
RNAcentral lists this ribosomal RNA (468 nucleotides) under uncultured bacterium. RNAcentral's name for it is "partial 16S ribosomal RNA". It matches the Rfam family "Bacterial small subunit ribosomal RNA", at positions 28 to 507 of the family's 1533-position model. The record is from RNAcentral.